Long non-coding RNA from Oncorhynchus keta (chum salmon), 1385 nucleotides. RefSeq lists it as uncharacterized. The record is from RefSeq and is a predicted model, not a curated record. The transcript is spliced from 3 exons. Lineage: Eukaryota; Metazoa; Chordata; Actinopteri; Salmoniformes; Salmonidae.
UAACAAUGCCCAAGUUGCAAGACAACAUAGAGGAAGAGGACGAGGACAAAGAUGACGACAACAACAAAGACAAGUAAUCUCAGACCCUAGUUCAUCAUGUGCUCAUACGUGGGAGGACUAUGAGAGAAGCUGGACAGCUAGCACAACCAAACCUAAGUCAUUACACGGUUGCAUCCAUUGUCCGUACAUUCAGAAGGGCUAACGGAACUGAGAGGCGGCCAUCUAUUGGAGGUAGGCGGAGACUUCUCACAGCUGAGCAGGAGACUGCCCUGGUGAAUAUGGUGAUUGACAGUAAUGUCAUCCGUUUGAGGGACAUUGAAACCCAAAUCGUUGAAGACCAGGUAGUCUUCCAAGGAAUUGACAGCAUCAGCACUUCCACCAUUGACCGGAUCGUUCAGAAGAACCACAUAAGAACAAAGCAGCUGUACCAUAUGCAUUUUGAAAGGAAUUCAAACAGAGUUAAGGAGCAACGAUUCCAUUUUGUGCAGGGCUCCAUCUGAAUUCACCCGCCGACGUUCCUCUGCACUGCCACGCACAACUUUUUCUCAGCUGGCACAAUUUGAUUUGCUGCUGUCCGAUUCAAACUGUAAGCUGUUAAAUGAAGAGUUGAUGCCCUGCACAAGUCAUGUGACUCGAGUCCACACCUCUGUGUACUGCAGUUACUGUAACAAAUGACCAAUCUUUCAUUCAAGUACAGUAGUACACUACUGUAUUUGUAGUAUAGUGUGUUUUUGGACUUCUGUAGAGAAUCUUUUAGCUGGAUGCCAUGGCUGACCCACAGGAGUACAUCUUCAUCGACAAGGCAGGUUCAACCUGACAAAAAGGCGCAAAAGGGGACGCAACCUCAUUGGUCACCGUGCCAUAAUACAAGUUCCUGGCCAGACGGGAGGCAACGUCACCCUAUGUGCAGCCAUCAGCAAUCGUGGCUUCCUCCACCGCCAUGUCAAAUUGGGUCCAUACAACAAGGCACAACUCCUUCAAUCAGCUGCACAAUAACAUUCUUCAACAGGAAGGGGAGCCAGGGCAACCAGAGCAAGCCCAAUAUGUUGUCAUUUGUUAUAACAUGAGUUUCCAUCGGGCUGCUCUGGUUCGCGUCUGGUUCAAUGACCACACCACCGUUCUUUUUUUCUUUUUUUGCCAGCAUAUUUCCCAUUUCUGAAUCCGAUUGAGUAAUUUUUCUCAGCAUGGGGUUGGAGAGUGUAUGACAGCAACCCCUCUGCUCAGCAAAUCCUCCUGGAGGCAAUGGUGGACACCCGUGGUGAUGUGUCAGUGGAGUCUAUCCAGGGUUUUCUAAGGCACAUAAGGGCAUUUUUCCCACGCUGCCUGGCAAGAGCAAACAUAAUGUGUGAUGUUGAUGAGAUAUUAUGGCCUGAACCAGACCUGAG